UACGUAGGGGGCGAGCGUUGUCCGGAAUUAGUGGGCGUAAAGAGCUCGUAGGCGGUCCUUUAAGUCGGAAGUGAAAUCUCAGGGCUCAACCCUGAAAUCGCUUUCGAUACUGGAGGACUUGAGGCAGGUAGGGGAGAACGGAAUUCCUGGUGUAGCGGUGAAAUGCACAGAUAUCAGGAGGAACACCGGUGGCGAAGGCGGUUCUCUGGGCCUGUUCUGACGCUGAGGAGCGAAAGCGUGGGGAGCAAACAGG
RNAcentral lists this unclassified non-coding RNA (253 nucleotides) under uncultured Euzebyales bacterium. RNAcentral describes it as "contains 16S-23S intergenic spacer region". It matches the Rfam family "Bacterial small subunit ribosomal RNA", at positions 524 to 776 of the family's 1533-position model. Lineage: Bacteria; Bacillati; Actinomycetota; Nitriliruptoria; Euzebyales. The record is from RNAcentral.